This is a non-coding RNA of Drosophila ananassae, 94 nucleotides long. Lineage: Eukaryota; Metazoa; Arthropoda; Insecta; Diptera; Drosophilidae. The record is from Rfam.
CCUUCGAUAGCUCAGUUGGUAGAGCGGUGGACUGUAGUUGGAAACAUAUGCAAUAGAAAUCCAUAGGUCGCUGGUUCAAAUCCGGCUCGAAGGA